Molecule: ribosomal RNA, 119 nt
Filed under: Gigantopelta aegis
Lineage: Eukaryota; Metazoa; Mollusca; Gastropoda; Neomphalida; Peltospiridae
Source: RNAcentral
GUCUACGGCCAUACCACGUUGAAAGCACCGGUUCUCGUCCGAUCACCGAAGUUAAGCAACGUCGGGCCCGUUUAGUACUUGGAUGGGUGACCGCCUGGGAACACCGGGUGCUGUAGAAA